UCCCUUGUGGCUUAGCUGGGAAAGAAUCCGCCUGCAAUGUGGAAGACCUGGGUUUGAUUCCUGGGUUGGGAA
Non-coding RNA from Bos taurus (domestic cattle), 72 nucleotides. NCBI's taxonomy places the organism in Eukaryota, Metazoa, Chordata, Mammalia, Artiodactyla, Bovidae. The record is from Rfam.